GGAGAGGUGGCUGAGUGGUCUAAAGCAGCAGACUUGAAAUCUGCCGUACCCAAAAGGUACCGUGAGUUCGAAUCUCACCCUCUCCGCCA
This 89-nucleotide transfer RNA is filed under the name Candidatus Uhrbacteria bacterium. RNAcentral's name for it is "tRNA-Ser". It matches the Rfam family "tRNA". From Rfam's summary of the family: Transfer RNA (tRNA) molecules are approximately 80 nucleotides in length. Their secondary structure includes four short double-helical elements and three loops (D, anti-codon, and T loops). Further hydrogen bonds mediate the characteristic L-shaped molecular structure. tRNAs have two regions of fundamental functional importance: the anti-codon, which is responsible for specific mRNA codon recognition, and the 3' end, to which the tRNAs corresponding amino acid is attached (by aminoacyl-tRNA synthetases). tRNAs cope with the degeneracy of the genetic code in two manners: having more than one tRNA (with a specific anti-codon) for a particular amino acid; and 'wobble' base-pairing, i.e. permitting non-standard base-pairing at the 3rd anti-codon position. Lineage: Bacteria; Candidatus Uhriibacteriota. The record is from RNAcentral.